GUGGCUCUGACAGGCACUGCAGAGCAACCAUGUGGCCACUGGGCACUUCUUGUCCACUGUUAGACCUGCGGCCACCCACCCUCAGGCACAGCCCUGCCCGGCAAGGCCAGACCUGGCAUCCGGCUCGCCCACUUCCCAAAUAACACCAGCAUCAAGAGUUCCGAAAAGGCCGAGCGCAGUGACUCACGCCUGUAAUCCCAGCGCU
RNAcentral lists this long non-coding RNA (205 nucleotides) under Pan troglodytes (chimpanzee). RNAcentral describes it as "long non-coding RNA NONPTRT015613". The record is from RNAcentral. Lineage: Eukaryota; Metazoa; Chordata; Mammalia; Primates; Hominidae.